This is a long non-coding RNA of Labeo rohita (rohu), 1062 nucleotides long. RefSeq lists it as uncharacterized. The record is from RefSeq and is a predicted model, not a curated record. NCBI's taxonomy places the organism in Eukaryota, Metazoa, Chordata, Actinopteri, Cypriniformes, Cyprinidae. The transcript is spliced from 4 exons.
CUUUGUGAUGUGUCAGUUGGAUAAGUAAUAAAAACUAAAAGCGAAACCACAAUUAAUUCUAGAAUUUGGAAUAAGGGUCUUAUGUAAUCAUUUUCUAAAAAUAAUUAAAAAUGUACUUUUUAACCACAAAUGCUCAUCUUGUACUAGCUUGACUUCACGCAUUAUGAAAUGUGUUAAACUUUGGAAAGGUCACAUAUAACACAGGCGGAAGCACCGACCGGGUGUUUACAAAGCGAAUGUGCCAAGAAAGUCAAACGCUCUUCACAAAAAGGUAAAACAACCAUGUUGAUUUUGACGUUGUAGGAGAAAGUGAUUGGGUUUUUCGCCUUAACCUACCUUUAGUAGGUACACAGAUGAAGAACUUCUCACAUGUGACCUUUCCAACAUGAUUAUGCCAUGCACAAAGUCAUUGAUGCGCAUCACAGAGCUAGUGCGAGACGAGCAUUUCUGGUUAAAAAGUACAUACAUUUUAAUUUAUUUAAGAUAAGACCCUUAUUCCUCGGCUGGGAUCGUGUAGAGCCCUUUAAAGUUGCAUUAAAACUGCAAUCCCCAAUGAAGUCCACUAUAUGGAGAAAAAUCCUGGAAUGAUUUCUUAAUUUUUUUUGACUGAAGAAAAAAAGAUGUGAACAUCUUGGAGACAGAUAUCUCAACAGUGCUUUUAAGUGCAGAGUGUUUUUUGUUACUGUGGGGUUGAACUAGUCAUGUUGGCUCGCAGAAUGCCUCUCAGCACCCUGAAGUUUGCCAACGGCUGGUUUUCCUUCGGAGGGUAGCAUGGUCCACGAUCUGUCACGUAGGCAUAAGGGAAGCGUAGCACCCAGAGUCCAUCAGGGGGCAGCACCACCUCAGGCUGCUCUGGAUGGAAGAUGGGACAGGGAGGGGGACCUGGCUGGACCUAGGAGAGAAUUGAAGCACAGCAAAUGUGGAUCGUAUGGACAAUCUCAAGAGGAGCAUCUGGGACGACGACGAAAAGGCGAGCCAGUUGAGCGUAGUGUGGCUUGAUCCCUCGUCCUUGAGCUGGAGAGGGAAUGUAUAAGGGCAUAUCAGAAUUCAAGCAUCUGGUUG